Molecule: ribosomal RNA, 785 nt
Filed under: uncultured fungus
Lineage: Eukaryota; Fungi
Description: SSU rRNA
Rfam family: Eukaryotic small subunit ribosomal RNA
Source: RNAcentral
GUGCCAGCAGCCGCGGUAAUUCCAGCUCCAAUAGCGUAUAUUAAAGUUGUUGUGGUUAAAAAGCUCGUAGUUGAACCUUGGGCCUGGCUGGCCGGUCCGCCUCACCGCGUGCACUGGUCCGGCCGGGCCUUUCCCUCUGUGGAACCCCAUACCCUUCACUGGGCGUGGCGGGGAAACAGGACAUUUACUUUGAAAAAAUUAGAGUGCUCCAGGCAGGCCUAUGCUCGAAUACAUUAGCAUGGAAUAAUAAAAUAGGACGCGCGGUUCUAUUUUGUUGGUUUAUAGGACCGCCGUAAUGAUUAAUAGGGACAGUCGGGGGCAUCAGUAUUCAACUGUCAGAGGUGAAAUUCUUGGAUCAGUUGAAGACUAACUACUGCGAAAGCAUUUGCCAAGGAUGUUUUCAUUAAUCAGGAACGAAAGUUAGGGGAUCGAAGACGAUCAGAUACCGUCGUAGUCUUAACCAUAAACUAUGCCGACUAGGGAUCGGACGGUGUUAUUCAUGACCCGUUCGGCACCUUACGAGAAAUCAAAGUGCUUGGGCUCCAGGGGGAGUAUGGUCGCAAGGCUGAAACUUAAAGAAAUUGACGGAAGGGCACCACCAGGGGUGGAGCCUGCGGCUUAAUUUGACUCAACACGGGGAAACUCACCAGGUCCAGACACAUAAGGAUUGACAGAUUGAGAGCUCUUUCUGAUUUGUGGGUGGUGUGCAUGCCGUCUAGUGGUGGGGUGACUUGUCUGCUUAUUGCGAUACGAACGAGACCUUACCUGCUAAAUAGCCCGCAUUG